AACGAACGCUGGCGGCGUGCCUAACACAUGCAAGUCGAGCGAGAAAGUAGCAAUACGAGUACAGCGGCGAACGGGUGAGUAACACGUAGGUAAUCUACCUAGUAGCGGGGGAUAGCAUCUCGAAAGGGGUAAUAAUACCGCAUAAGAAAACAGGUCGAUGGAUCUGUUUUGAAAGGGGGCUUCGCAAGAAGCUUUCACUACUAGAUGAGCCUUCGUCCCAUUAGCUAGUUGGUAGGGUAAUGGCCUACCAAGGCUACGAUGGGUAGCUGGUCUGAGAGGACGACCAGCCACACUGGAACUGACACACGGUCCAGACUCCUACGGGAGGCAGCAGUGGGGGAAUAUUGCGCAAUGGAGGAAACUCUGACGCAGCGACGCCGCGUGAGUGAUGAAGGCCU
This 398-nucleotide ribosomal RNA is filed under the name uncultured bacterium. Its description in RNAcentral is "bacterial SSU rRNA". It matches the Rfam family "Bacterial small subunit ribosomal RNA", at positions 29 to 417 of the family's 1533-position model. The record is from RNAcentral.